RNAcentral lists this long non-coding RNA (536 nucleotides) under Carica papaya (papaya). RNAcentral's name for it is "long non-coding RNA (CPAP_LNC013310)". The record is from RNAcentral. Lineage: Eukaryota; Viridiplantae; Streptophyta; Magnoliopsida; Brassicales; Caricaceae.
UUUUCAGCCCAAAAAGAUUUCCUCUUUCUCUCUCUCUCUCUCUCUCUCUCUCUAAAACCCUAACCAACUGUAAAGCGACCCUAAACCCCAUUGCUCUUCUCUUCGGUUUCUCCAGUUUGGAAUCCCGAAAAUCAGUCUGCUUCCCCCAGGAUUGAACACUCGGAGGUGUUCGUGUCACCUCAUUCAGGGAGAAGCUCAUUACAUAGGUGUUCUCGGGAGCUGAGGCUACAUCAACUUACGCGGCAGAUAUUUUCGGUUUCCUUAACCUAUUAUUGGAACAGGUAAAGUUUCUUUCCAUUGUCAGCGUCGUGUAUAUAUAUGUUUGUUACAGUCUCCGUUUAAAUGAUUGGACCUCUUGAAAGUGAUGUACGCAUGAAACUAUGCUGCUAAUUUAUUUUUAUUUUUUUUAAUUUAAGGAUGCUUGUAACUUCCGGUUUUCUGCUUGUACAGUGUUUAUCAUCUGGACUUUCAUGUUGUGGUUUCUAAGUGCAAAUUUCUCUUAAGAAAAAACGAAUGCUAGCUGUCCGAUAACAUUU